CGCAUCUGUGCAUGCAGCAUAUCAAUAAGCGGAGGAAAAGAAACUAACAAGGAUUCCCUUAGUAACGGCGAGUGAAGCGGGAAGAGCUCAAAUUUGAAAUCUUCAAGGUUUUACCUUGACGAAUUGUAGUUUAAAGAAGUGUUUUCUGUUGAAGUUUUGGUAAAAGUUCUUUGGAAUAGGACAUCAUAGAGGGUGAGAAUCCCGUAUUUGACCAUUAUUUUCAGCUGUGUGAUACACUUUCAAAGAGUCGGAUUGUUUGGGAAUGCAGUCCAAAAUGGGUGGUAAAUUUCAUCUAAAGCUAAAUAUUGGCGAGAGACCGAUAGCGAACAAGUACCGUGAGGGAAAGAUGAAAAGAACUUUGAAAAGAGAGUUAAACAGUACGUGAAAUUGUCAAAAGGGAAGCGUUUGACACCAGUGUUGUUUUCUCGAAAAUCAAUUAAAAAGAGUUAGAUUUUGUUGUGUAUUGACCUUAACAGCUUGCAUUUCAAUUUUCUUGCUCUUUUUAAUGCACUUUUCGUUUAACAAGUCAACAUCAGUUUCUUUUGUUGUAAAAAGGUCAUUGGAAGGUGGCUUUCUUUUCGGAGAAAGUGUUUAUAGCCUUUGACUCCUGCAAUCGGAGAGACUGAGGUCUGCAGCGUAGAUCCUUCGGGGUUAGAUACAUUUGUGCUAAGUUAUAGCUUUUUAUAGACAACUUGUUGACUAUGAUUAGUCUUGUAGCUUACUCGCUUAUGCUAUUUUACCUACGCUUAGGAUGUUGACACACGCGCGUGCUCG
RNAcentral lists this ribosomal RNA (774 nucleotides) under uncultured Neocallimastigales. Its description in RNAcentral is "partial large subunit ribosomal RNA". It matches the Rfam family "Eukaryotic large subunit ribosomal RNA", at positions 26 to 644 of the family's 3401-position model. The record is from RNAcentral. Lineage: Eukaryota; Fungi; Neocallimastigomycota; Neocallimastigomycetes; Neocallimastigales.